GGCUCGUUGGUCUAGGGGUAUGAGUUUUGUUUCCUUGCUCCAAGGGUAUGUGCGUGCGAGAGGUCCCGGGUUCAAAUCCCGGACGAGCCC
This is a non-coding RNA of Danionella cerebrum, 90 nucleotides long. The record is from the annotation of a GenBank genome assembly. NCBI's taxonomy places the organism in Eukaryota, Metazoa, Chordata, Actinopteri, Cypriniformes, Danionidae.